UUAAUGAAUAAAUUUAAAAAUUUAAAAAAAUUAUUUUAAAAAAAAUUAUUUUAUAAGUAUUUUGUUAAUUGAAAAAUUUAAAAAAUUAAUUAAAAAUAAAAUUAAAAGAUUAUUUUAUAAAAGUUUAUAAGAAAAAUUAAAUAUUUGUUCCUUUUGUAUCAGGAUUAAUUAAAUUUAAAAUAAAUUUUAAAUUCUCGAAAUUAAAAUAUUUAAAUAAAUAAUUUAUUUAAUAUUAAAAUAUUAUUAAUAAUAUUUAUUUAAAAAUUAUAAGUUAUUUGUUUUUAAUGAUAUCUAGUUAUUUAAUAAAAAAAUUUAAUUUUUUUAUAAAUUAUAUAUAUAUAUUUUAUUUUAAAUAUAUUUAUUUUUUUAUAAAAAAGAAUUUAGGGAUAAACUUAAAUUUUUUUUUUAAAAUUUAUUUAUUAAAAUUUAAUAAUUAUAAAAUUUAAAAUUUUUAUUAAUAAAAAUAAUUUAAUAAUUUUUAAAAUUUUUAUAAAAAUUUAUAAUAAGUUAAUUUAAGUUUUUAUUAAAUUAAAAAAUUAAAUAAAUUUAUUUUUAAAAUAAUGAUUAAAUUAGUAAAUAUAUAUAUAUAUAUAUAUAUAUAAUAUUAAAUAUAAAUUCUUAAGAAAAAAUUAUUUAAAUAAUUCAGCAAAAAUUUAUCCACCUGUUUAAUAAAAACAUGUCUUAAAGAAUUUAAUUUUAAGUCAGAUCUGCCCAAUGAAUAAUUUAAAUGGCUGCAGUAUUUUUAACUGUACAAAGGUAGCAUAAUAAUUUGUUUUUUAAUUAAAAACUAGAAUGAAAGAUUUAAUGAGAUAAAAUCUGUUUCAAAUAAAUUAAUUAAAUUUAUUAUUUAAGUAAAAAAACUUAAAUUUUUUAUAAAGACGAUAAGACCCUAUAGAAUUUUAUUUAUUUAGUAAAAAAAAUUUUUUAAAUAAAUUUAAUUGGGGUAAUAAAAAAAUUAAAUAAAUUUUUUUUAAAUUUUUACAUAAAUUAAUGAAUUUAAUUAAUUAAAAUAUGUCUUAAUUUUUAAAUUAAAAAAAUUAAUUACCUUAGGGAUAACAGCAUAAUUUUUUUUAAGAGUUCUUAUCAAUAAAAAAGAUUAUGACCUCGAUGUUGAAUUAAGAUAAAAUUUAAAUGCAAAAAUUUAAAAAUUUAAGUCUGUUCGACUUUUAAAAUCUUACAUGAUUUGAGUUAAAAUCGGUGUAAGCCAGAUUGGAUUCUAUCUUAUAAAUAAAUAAUAUAAUUGUACGAAAGGAAUUUAUAUUAAAAAUAAUUUUUAUAAAAAUUAAAAAAUAUAAUUUAU
Molecule: ribosomal RNA, 1300 nt
Filed under: Habrobracon hebetor
Lineage: Eukaryota; Metazoa; Arthropoda; Insecta; Hymenoptera; Braconidae
Description: 16S ribosomal RNA
Source: RNAcentral